GUUUUCACCACUCGCCAGGCAAUCACUCUGUGCUCCAAGUCAGUAUUGCACCAAUGGGACUCUGACAUUGAGAAGAAAAUGAAAAAGAGCCUCAAAUGAAAAUGCUUUUUGAGGAAGGUGGCUAAGAGAAAUUAACUCUGUACAUAGAUAUUAAUAUUGAAACCAGUUUCACUGCACACUCAGAAGUUCCAGAUAUGGAUGGAACCAUUGCUCCUUGCAGUCUCACUGUCAACUCUGUAGAAUCUGCUCUCCAGCCUGGGAAAGCAGUAGAAGAUGGCCCAAGUCUUUGGGCCCUGCACCCAUGUGGGAGACUCGGAAGAAACUCCUGGCACCUGGCUUCGGAUCAUCCUCACUCCUGCUGCUGCAUCCAUUAGGGAAGUGAACCAGUGGACAGAAGACUUUUCACUCUGUCUCUCCUUCUCUCUGUCAAUAAA
Molecule: long non-coding RNA, 434 nt
Organism: Oryctolagus cuniculus (rabbit)
Lineage: Eukaryota; Metazoa; Chordata; Mammalia; Lagomorpha; Leporidae
Source: RefSeq, a predicted model, not a curated record